ACUCAAAUGAAUUGACGGGGACCCACACAAGCAGUGGAUCAUGUGGUUUAAUUCGACUAUAAACGGGGAAUCUUACCUAGGCUUGACAUGUAGAGAAGAAGCGAGAAAUCGCCUUGUGCCCGCAAGGGAACUCUAACACAGGUGCUGCAUGGUUGUCGUCAGCUCGUGCCUUGAGGUGUUCGGUUAAGUCCGUUAACGAGCGCAACCCAUGUCGUUAGUUACUAUGUCUAACGAGACUGCCCGAGUUAAUCGGGAGGAAGGUGUGGAUGACGUCAAAUCAGCAUGGCCCUUAUGCCUAGGGCCACACACAUGAUACAAUGGUCGGUACAAAGAGUAGCAAUAUGGUAACAUGGAGCUAAUCUCAAAAGCCGAUCUCAGUCCGGAUUGAGGUCUGAAACUCGACCUCAUGAAGUUGGAAUUGCUAGUAAUCGUGAAUCAGAUAUGUCACGGUGAAUAUGUUCCUGGGUCUUGCACACACCGCCCGU
This 485-nucleotide ribosomal RNA is filed under the name uncultured bacterium. RNAcentral describes it as "partial 16S ribosomal RNA". It matches the Rfam family "Bacterial small subunit ribosomal RNA", at positions 899 to 1397 of the family's 1533-position model. The record is from RNAcentral.